Molecule: ribosomal RNA, 194 nt
Filed under: uncultured bacterium
Lineage: Bacteria
Description: partial 16S ribosomal RNA
Rfam family: Bacterial small subunit ribosomal RNA
Source: RNAcentral
CCUACGGGAGGCAGCAGUAGGGAAUCUUCCACAAUGGACGAAAGUCUGAUGGAGCAACGCCGCGUGAGUGAUGAAGGGUUUCGGCUCGUAAAACUCUGUUGUUGGAGAAGAACAGGUGAUAGAGUAACUGUUAUCAUCUUGACGGUAUCCAACCAGAAAGCCACGGCUAACUACGUGCCAGCAGCCGCGGUAAU